GAAACCACUACCAGUCUUAAAUGUAUAACUGAUGAUGACAAAGUUUUUUUUCUCUGCAUAAUAAUAGGAACCCAGGCAGUAGCAUCGUUUCACAAUGUUUCCAUCAUCAUCAUCAGUGGAUGCCUUUGCCGUCCGUAGCCUGAGAUUUCAGAUUUGCAGCAAAAAAAAUUGAUUUUCUCAUUUAUUGGAAUGCUGUGCAGGUAUUUGUACCUUGCAGCCAUCCAUUACAAUGUCACCAAGCCGUAACAAAAGCAGGAGAGGGAAAGUACAAGGCUAUGUUCCCAAAACACAAAUGACAUACCUUAUGUGGAUGAUGUGAUCAGGCUUGUAUUUGAUGAGGUAUUUGAAGAUAAGCUGAAGGAAACCCCGAUUCCAAUGGACCUGACAUCACAGUUUGAGAGACCUUCAAAGGAGGACGUGAUUGCAUGCCAUCUUCAAUGCAGGGGUCGUCGAAAGCCAAAAUUGUGACCGAUCUGAUCAGGAAGCUCCAAGCGUAUCUGGAGAACAACACACGACAGGAUGAUAACCUUAUAGUGUCGUCUUAGAUAGCACCAGCUGACAAAGCUUUGAUAUGCCAUUUAUCUGAAUAGAUAGCUGUAAGAAAUGAAUUGAACAAUUUUUUAAACAAGAGCACAAUAUGGUUACUAAAGUAUGUUUAUUUGUAUAUUGUUUAACAUUUAAAUAUAUAUUUGUAAUAAAUAAAAAAAACUUUUGACUGACUAUUAUAUUUUCUUUAAAGUUGCAUCUUUUGUUCUUUUGGGUACUUUGUUACUAUAAUGAUACUUUAGUGUUAUUGGUUUAAAAAUGUAAUAAAACUUACUCUAGUCCUGCACCUC
This is a long non-coding RNA of Paramisgurnus dabryanus, 836 nucleotides long. RefSeq lists it as uncharacterized. Lineage: Eukaryota; Metazoa; Chordata; Actinopteri; Cypriniformes; Cobitidae. The record is from RefSeq and is a predicted model, not a curated record.